RNAcentral lists this ribosomal RNA (1358 nucleotides) under uncultured bacterium. Its description in RNAcentral is "bacterial SSU rRNA". It matches the Rfam family "Bacterial small subunit ribosomal RNA", at positions 28 to 1381 of the family's 1533-position model. The record is from RNAcentral.
GAUGAACGCUAGCUACAGGCUUAACACAUGCAAGUCGAGGGGCAGCAUGGUCUUAGCUUGCUAAGGCCGAUGGCGACCGGCGCACGGGUGAGUAACACGUAUCCAACCUGCCGUCUACUCUUGGACAGCCUUCUGAAAGGAAGAUUAAUACAAGAUGGCAUCAUGAGUCCACAUGUUCACAUGAUUAAAGGUAUUCCGGUAGACGAUGGGGAUGCGUUCCAUUAGAUAGUAGGCGGGGUAACGGCCCACCUAGUCUUCGAUGGAUAGGGGUUCUGAGAGGAAGGUCCCCCACAUUGGAACCGAGACACGGUCCAAACUCCUACGGGAGGCAGCAGUGAGGAAUAUUGGUCAAUGGGCGAGAGCCUGAACCAGCCAAGUAGCGUGAAGGAUGACUGCCCUAUGGGUUGUAAACUUCUUUUAUAAAGGAAUAAAGUCGGGUAUGGAUACCCGUUUGCAUGUACUUUAUGAAUAAGGAUCGGCUAACUCCGUGCCAGCAGCCGCGGUAAUACGGAGGAUCCGAGCGUUAUCCGGAUUUAUUGGGUUUAAAGGGAGCGUAGAUGGAUGUUUAAGUCAGUUGUGAAAGUUUGCGGCUCAACCGUAAAAUUGCAGUUGAUACUGGAUAUCUUGAGUGCAGUUGAGGCAGGCGGAAUUCGUGGUGUAGCGGUGAAAUGCUUAGAUAUCACGAAGAACUCCGAUUGCGAAGGCAGCCUGCUAAGCUGCAACUGACAUUGAGGCUCGAAAGUGUGGGUAUCAAACAGGAUUAGAUACCCUGGUAGUCCACACGGUAAACGAUGAAUACUCGCUGUUUGCGAUAUACAGCAAGCGGCCAAGCGAAAGCGUUAAGUAUUCCACCUGGGGAGUACGCCGGCAACGGUGAAACUCAAAGGAAUUGACGGGGGCCCGCACAAGCGGAGGAACAUGUGGUUUAAUUCGAUGAUACGCGAGGAACCUUACCCGGGCUUAAAUUGCAGAUGAAUUACGGUGAAAGCCGUAAGCCGCAAGGCAUCUGUGAAGGUGCUGCAUGGUUGUCGUCAGCUCGUGCCGUGAGGUGUCGGCUUAAGUGCCAUAACGAGCGCAACCCUUGUUGUCAGUUACUAACAGGUUCCGCUGAGGACUCUGACAAGACUGCCAUCGUAAGAUGUGAGGAAGGUGGGGAUGACGUCAAAUCAGCACGGCCCUUACGUCCGGGGCUACACACGUGUUACAAUGGGGGGUACAGAGGGCCGCUACCACGCGAGUGGAUGCCAAUCCCAAAAACCUCUCUCAGUUCGGACUGGAGUCUGCAACCCGACUCCACGAAGCUGGAUUCGCUAGUAAUCGCGCAUCAGCCACGGCGCGGUGAAUACGUUCCCGGGCCU